This 433-nucleotide ribosomal RNA is filed under the name uncultured bacterium. RNAcentral describes it as "partial 16S ribosomal RNA". It matches the Rfam family "Bacterial small subunit ribosomal RNA", at positions 29 to 507 of the family's 1533-position model. The record is from RNAcentral.
AACGAACGCUGGCGGCAUGCCUAACACAUGCAAGUCGAACGAGACCUUCGGGACUAGUGGCGCACGGGUGCGUAACGCGUGGGAACCUGCCCUUAGGUUCGGAAUAACUCCCCGAAAGGGGUGCUAAUACCGGAUAAUUUCUUCGGACCAAAGAUUUAUCGCCUUUGGAUGGGCCCGCGUUGGAUUAGCUAGUUGGUAGGGUAAAAGCCUACCAAGGCGACGAUCCAUAGCUGGUCUGAGAGGAUGAUCAGCCACACUGGGACUGAGACACGGCCCAGACUCCUACGGGAGGCAGCAGUGGGGAAUAUUGGACAAUGGGCGAAAGCCUGAUCCAGCAAUGCCGCGUGAGUGAUGAAGGCCUUAGGGUUUUAAAGCUCUUUUACCCGGGAUGAUAAUGACAGUACCGGGAGAAUAAGCUCCGGCUAACUCCGUG